GACGAACGCUGGCGGCGUGCUUAACACAUGCAAGUCGAACGGAAAGGCCUGCUUUCCCUUGUGGAUUGCGGGUACUCGAGUGGCGAACGGGUGAGUAACACGUGAGUGAUCUGCCCCCAACUUGGGUAUAAGCCUGGGAAACUGGGUCUAAUUCCCGAUAGGACUGCAGGGUGGUGCCUGUGGUGGAAAACGAUUUUCUAGUGGUUGGGGAUGAGCUCGCGGCCUAUCAGCUUGUUGGUGGGGUAAUGGCCUACCAAGGCGGCGACGGGUAGCCGGCCUGAGAGGGUGGAGGCCACAUUGGGACUGAGAUACGGCCCAGACUCCUACGGGAGGCAGCAGUGGGGAAUAUUGCACAAUGGGCGGAAGCCUGAUGCAGCGACGCCGCGUGGGGGAUGACGGCCUUCGGGUUGUAAACUCCUUUCGACCGCGAGGAAGCCACCUGGUUGGAAGGGUGGUGACGGUAGUGGUAGAAGAAGCACCGGCUAACUACGUG
RNAcentral lists this ribosomal RNA (493 nucleotides) under uncultured bacterium. Its description in RNAcentral is "partial 16S ribosomal RNA". It matches the Rfam family "Bacterial small subunit ribosomal RNA", at positions 28 to 507 of the family's 1533-position model. The record is from RNAcentral.